GACGAACGCUGGCGGCGUGCCUAAUACAUGCAAGUAGAACGCUGAAGGAGGAGCUUGCUUCUCUGGAUGAGUUGCGAACGGGUGAGUAACGCGUAGGUAACCUGCCUGGUAGCGGGGGAUAACUAUUGGAAACGAUAGCUAAUACCGCAUAAGAGUAGAUGUUGCAUGACAUUUGCUUAAAAGGUGCAAUUGCAUCACUACCAGAUGGACCUGCGUUGUAUUAGCUAGUUGGUGGUGUAACGGCUCACCAAGGCGACGAUAAAUAGCCGACCUGAGAGGGUGAUCGGCCACACUGGGACAGAGACACGGCCCAGACGCCUCCGGGAGGCAGCAGUAGGGAAUCUUCGGCAAUGGACGGAAGUCUGACCGAGCAACGCCGCGUGAGUGAAGAAGGUUUUCGGAUCGUAAAGCACUGUUGUAAGAGGAGAACGAGUGUGGGAGUGGAAAGUUCACACUGUGACGGUAUCUUACCAGAAAGGGACGGCUAACUACGUGC
RNAcentral lists this ribosomal RNA (496 nucleotides) under uncultured bacterium. RNAcentral's name for it is "partial 16S ribosomal RNA". It matches the Rfam family "Bacterial small subunit ribosomal RNA", at positions 28 to 508 of the family's 1533-position model. The record is from RNAcentral.